This 69-nucleotide transfer RNA is filed under the name Bos taurus (domestic cattle). It matches the Rfam family "tRNA". From Rfam's summary of the family: Transfer RNA (tRNA) molecules are approximately 80 nucleotides in length. Their secondary structure includes four short double-helical elements and three loops (D, anti-codon, and T loops). Further hydrogen bonds mediate the characteristic L-shaped molecular structure. tRNAs have two regions of fundamental functional importance: the anti-codon, which is responsible for specific mRNA codon recognition, and the 3' end, to which the tRNAs corresponding amino acid is attached (by aminoacyl-tRNA synthetases). tRNAs cope with the degeneracy of the genetic code in two manners: having more than one tRNA (with a specific anti-codon) for a particular amino acid; and 'wobble' base-pairing, i.e. permitting non-standard base-pairing at the 3rd anti-codon position. The record is from Rfam by way of RNAcentral. Lineage: Eukaryota; Metazoa; Chordata; Mammalia; Artiodactyla; Bovidae. RNAcentral also lists the same sequence under 1 other name.
CCUGGUGGCUCAGACGGUAAAGCGUCUGCCUGCAAUGCAGGAGACCCAGGUUCGAUUCCUGGGUCAGGA